Molecule: ribosomal RNA, 420 nt
Filed under: Vibrio parahaemolyticus
Lineage: Bacteria; Pseudomonadati; Pseudomonadota; Gammaproteobacteria; Vibrionales; Vibrionaceae
Description: bacterial LSU rRNA
Rfam family: Bacterial large subunit ribosomal RNA
Source: RNAcentral
CUGCGUACGUCUUGUAUAAUGGGACAGCGACUUACAUUCAGGGGCAAGGUUAACCAUCUAGGGGAGCCGCAGGGAUACAGAGUCUGAACUGGGCGCUCAGUCUCUGGAUAUAGACACGAAACGAGGUGAUCUAGCCAUGGGAAGGUUGAAGGUCGAGAAACAUUAACUGGAGGACUGUACCGACUAAUGUUGAAAAAUUAGCGGAAGACUUGUGGCUAGGGGUGAAAGGCCAAUUAAACCGGGAGAGAGCGGGUUCUCCACGAAAGAUAUUUAGGUAGCGCCACGGACGACUGCUACUGGGAGUAGAGCACUGGUAAGGCUAGGGGGUGAACUCGACUUACCAACCCAUUGCAAUUUGCCAAGACCAGUAAGUACUGUCCGGGAGGCUCACGGCGGGAACUCACGCCCAUCGUGGAGAGG